AAUGAUUUUCUAAAGUAGAAUAUAAGCUAUAGGAUAACAAGGUAGAUGCAGUCUCUACCCUCAGAACCUAUAUUCCUUCAAGGAAGAUGUAUAACUAAACUGGUAAUGACAGGAACGUACACUGGUAUGACAGAAGCUCAUGGUGCUCUGGGAAUCCAGAAAAAGGGCCACUGGUCCAGGCUUGUUUACAGAGCUAAUGAAGAAUCUUAGGAUAUUUACCAUUAUUCACUGUCCCUUAGAUGAUAUAGUCUCUUUAUGCUAAAGGGAUAGUAGAGUCAGAGGUCCCCAGGAUCUGAUCUGAGCUGGUUAUGAUUGACUACUCAUAACCAGUGUCAGAGAAAUGUUCAUACUGCCAGGAUCCAUUCAGAUAUAUGGAAACAGAUGUUGCCUGAGGACAUGAUGUGAGGUUCAGAGAAGUGAAUCAUUUUGCACGUGGCCAACAGACAAUUGUGUGCUAUAAAUUACAGUCAUUGUGACCAGAUUCAAGGGUUUUACUCCAGCAAUUUUGUUCAUCUUUUGUCACAGGGUAACAUGAGAAAAGAAAUCACAAAUAUAGAUGGCAUCAAAAUAUUCUCAAGAAACUAGUGGACUGCACAGCAUAGGUCAGAAUAGAAAGUUCAUCUCAAAGAAGCAUAUUGUGGCUUUUCUGAAAAUGGAUUGCACACACCCCUUCUGCAAAACACGUAUCAGAAUAUACCUUUGACGCUUGUAUUUCUGGGACCUUAUCUCUUUCAGGGCAUUCACUGCAUCUUUGCAGCUCCCCUAUCUCUAUUUUACAUAGCUCAUACCUCCCUUGAUUUUCUAGAAUUCAGGCAGGUUAUUCAUUUCGGAAGAUCACAGAUAUUUUUUAAAAAAGUAUAUACCACGAAUAUUGGAG
RNAcentral lists this long non-coding RNA (877 nucleotides) under Homo sapiens (human). RNAcentral describes it as "HSALNT0144670". The record is from RNAcentral. Lineage: Eukaryota; Metazoa; Chordata; Mammalia; Primates; Hominidae.